CAGUAGCCGCGGUAAUACGAAGGGUGCAAGCGUUAAUCGGAUUUACUGGGCGUAAAGCGAGCGCAGACGGUUACUUAAGCAGGAUGUGAAAUCCCCGGGCUCAACCUGGGAACUGCGUUCUGAACUGGGUGGCUAGAGUAUGUCAGAGGGGGGUAGAAUUCCACGUGUAGCAGUGAAAUGCGUAGAGAUGUGGAGGAAUACCGAUGGCGAAGGCAGCCCCCUGGGAUAAUACUGACGUUCAUGCUCGAAAGCGUGGGUAGCAAACAGGAUUAGAUACCCCCGUAGUCCCUGUCUCUUAUAA
RNAcentral lists this ribosomal RNA (301 nucleotides) under uncultured bacterium. RNAcentral's name for it is "partial 16S ribosomal RNA". It matches the Rfam family "Bacterial small subunit ribosomal RNA", at positions 509 to 809 of the family's 1533-position model. The record is from RNAcentral.